RNAcentral lists this transfer RNA (72 nucleotides) under Camelus bactrianus (Bactrian camel). It matches the Rfam family "tRNA". Rfam says of the family: Transfer RNA (tRNA) molecules are approximately 80 nucleotides in length. Their secondary structure includes four short double-helical elements and three loops (D, anti-codon, and T loops). RNAcentral also lists the same sequence under 2 other names. The record is from Rfam by way of RNAcentral. Lineage: Eukaryota; Metazoa; Chordata; Mammalia; Artiodactyla; Camelidae.
GAGAGUAUAGCUCAGUGGUGGAGUGCAUGUCUAGCAUGCACAAGGUCCUGGGUUCAAUCCUCAGUACCUCCA